GGUUCUCACGCUGGAACGCGGAGAAUCUCAAACGCUACGGCGCUACAGGAUGUGGCUGCGGCCGAUUAGGUAGACGGUGGGGUAACGGCCCACCGUGCCGAUAAUCGGUACGGGUUGUGAGAGCAAGAGCCCGGAGACGGAAUCUGAGACAAGAUUCCGGGCCCUACGGGGCGCAGCAGGCGCGAAACCUUUACACUGCACGCCAGUGCGAUAAGGGGACCCCAAGUGUGAGGGCAUAUAGCCCUCACUUUUGUGUACCGUAGGGAGGUACACGAAUAAGAGCUGGGCAAGACCGGUGCCAGCCGCCGCGGUAAUACCGGCAGCUCGAGUGAUGACCGAUUUUAUUGGGCCUAAAGCGUCCGUAGCUGGCCGCGUAGGUUCGUCGGGAAAUCCACCUGCUCAACAGGUGGGCGUCCGGCGAAAACCACGUGGCUUGGGACCGGAAGGCUCGAGGGGUACGUCCGGGGUAGGAGUGAAAUCCCGUAAUCCUGGACGGACCGCCGAUGGCGAAAGCACCUCGAGAAGACGGAUCCGACAGUGAGGGACGAAAGCUGGGGUCUCGAACCGGAUUAGAUACCCGGGUAGUCCCAGCCGUAAACAAUGCCUGUUAGGUGUGGCACCGACUACGAGUCGGUGCUGUGCCGUAGGGAAGCCGAUAAACAGGCCGCCUGGGAAGUACGUCCGCAAGGAUGAAACUUAA
Molecule: ribosomal RNA, 700 nt
Filed under: uncultured Halogranum sp.
Lineage: Archaea; Methanobacteriati; Methanobacteriota; Halobacteria; Halobacteriales; Haloferacaceae
Description: bacterial SSU rRNA
Rfam family: Archaeal small subunit ribosomal RNA
Source: RNAcentral